GCCUGAGUGGCUCAGUCGGUUGAGCGUCAGACUUCGGCUCAGGUCAUGAUCUCCCAGUUUGUGGGUUUGAGCCCCUCAUCAGGCU
This 85-nucleotide transfer RNA is filed under the name Felis catus (domestic cat). It matches the Rfam family "tRNA". From Rfam's summary of the family: Transfer RNA (tRNA) molecules are approximately 80 nucleotides in length. Their secondary structure includes four short double-helical elements and three loops (D, anti-codon, and T loops). The record is from Rfam by way of RNAcentral. RNAcentral also lists the same sequence under 2 other names. Lineage: Eukaryota; Metazoa; Chordata; Mammalia; Carnivora; Felidae.